This 450-nucleotide ribosomal RNA is filed under the name uncultured Glomeromycotina. RNAcentral describes it as "SSU rRNA". It matches the Rfam family "Eukaryotic small subunit ribosomal RNA", at positions 569 to 1026 of the family's 1831-position model. The record is from RNAcentral. Lineage: Eukaryota; Fungi; Glomeromycota.
AGCAGCCGCGGUAAUUCCAGCUCCAAUAGCGUAUAUUAAAGUUGUUGCAGUUAAAAGCUCGUAGUUGAAUUUCGGGAUCAGUACGCUGGUCGUGCCUUCGGUAUGUACUGGUGUUACUGGUUCCUACCUUCUGACGAACCGUCAUGUCAUUAAUUUGGUGUGGCGGGGAAUCAGGACUGUUACUUUGAAAAAUUAGAGUGUUUAAAGCAGGCUCGCGCUUGAAUACAUUAGCAUGGAAUAAUGAAAUAGGACGUUCGAUCCUAUUUUGUUGGUUUCUAGGAUUGACGUAAUGAUUAAUAGGGAUAGUUGGGGGCAUUAGUAUUCAAUUGUCAGAGGUGAAAUUCUUGGAUUUAUUGAAGACUAACUACUGCGAAAGCAUUUGCCAAGGAUGUUUUCAUUAAUCAAGAACGAAAGUUAGGGAUCGAAGACGAUCAGAUACCGUCGUAGUCU